Macadamia integrifolia is the source of this 650-nucleotide long non-coding RNA. RefSeq lists it as uncharacterized. The transcript is spliced from 2 exons. Lineage: Eukaryota; Viridiplantae; Streptophyta; Magnoliopsida; Proteales; Proteaceae. The record is from RefSeq and is a predicted model, not a curated record.
ACUAGUCCACUAGAGAAGAAGGAGAAGGAGAAGAAGAUAUCCAGAGACAUGGAAGAGGAGGGCUUGAUAACAAAAUCUCCUGGGCAUUUUCUUUACAAAGUCUAUGAUUACUUUCAACAGCCCAUAAGAGCUUUUCUCAGGAUACUGGGUCUUUCCUCCUCCACUCUUCCGGAUUCCUCAGCAAAAGAUCAUGAAAAGGAAAAGAUGGAGAUAGUUCUGAGAUCAGGUAAACCACCAAAGGGGGCAAGGGAUCGUGGAUCUGGAGGAAGCGUCAAUGGAUCAAAGCCUAUAUAAAACCUCAGCCUCUUCUUGAUUAUUUGUCUUGUAUCCUUAUCUUUGUAACAUAAUUAUUAAUAUCCAAAAUAAGCUUUACUAGAUGAUCAACUGAUGAUCAUCCUUAGCAUCAAUUGAAUCAAAACCCAUGACUGUGGAAGCUGUUGGAUGCAUCUCCGUUCAGUGAAUCAGUGGUGACCAUGGAGUUAAGUUUGCCUCUGCAAGCCCUUUGGACUCACUUCUGCUUAUGGCGAAGAUGUUUGCCUUUUAUCCUUCUUGUUUUCUUCUUUCUUCAAGCCUGUACUUGUGUCUCACUACUGGGUGUUAAUUUCACCACGCCUAUUAACACUUCUCUCAAUAAAGGUUAUGUUUGUUCC